GACGAACGCUGGCGGCGUGCCUAAUACAUGCAAGUCGAGCGCAGGAAAUCGACGGCACCCUUCGGGGGGAAGUCGACGGAAUGAGCGGCGGACGGGUGAGUAACACGUAAAGAACCUGCCCUCAGGUCUGGGAUAACCACGAGAAAUCGGGGCUAAUACCGGAGGGGUCAUCGGACCGCAUGGUCCGAGGAUGAAAGGCGCUACGGCGUCGACUGGGGAUGGCUUGCGGUGCAUUAGCUAGUUGGUGGGGUAAUGGACCACCAAGGCGACGAUGCAUAGCCGACCUGAGAGGGUGAUCGGCCACACUGGGACUGGGACACGGCCCAGACUCCUACGGGAGGCAGCAGUAGGGAAUCUUCCACAAUGGACGAAAGUCUGAUGGAGCAACGCCGCGUGAACGAUGAAGGCCUUCGGGUCGUAAAGCUCUGUUGUAAGGGAGGAACAAGUGCCGCAGGCAAUGGCGGCACCUUGACGGUACCUUGCGAGAAAGCCACGGCUAACUACGUGCCAGCCGCCGCGGUAA
This 523-nucleotide ribosomal RNA is filed under the name uncultured bacterium. RNAcentral describes it as "partial 16S ribosomal RNA". It matches the Rfam family "Bacterial small subunit ribosomal RNA", at positions 28 to 523 of the family's 1533-position model. The record is from RNAcentral.